CCGAGGCAGCCGGCCCUCUGCCCUACCAUGCCAGUGCCCAGCCUGUCUCAGUGGUCUGGCAUCUUCGAUGACAGUGUUGGCAUGUGCAGCAGUAGUGGCUGUUUGUCAUCCUGUUCUGUGGCGCACUUUGUUGAGCUGUGGGUAGCUCUGCUCACGUGGCUCAUGGGUAGAUGUUUCUGUUGGGUUUGUACUAGGAAUGGAGUUGCUGGUGUCAGGAAUGUGGUAGAUGAUGGCAGCUGUAGGAUACAUUGCCACAAGCUGUGUGUGUGGCUCCCAACUGCGAUGUCUCCGAGCUGUGGGCUUCUUGCACCUGUGGCCCCUCUUGCCACCUGUGAGCAGCCGGCAGGAGGAUGUGCAGCUGCUGUCCCUCACAAGACAUUCAGGACACCGCAGCCUUUAUUAGAUUCAUGGGUAAAAAGGAGAGAAUGAGUAGGAAAGGUAAUCAUGGCAGGGAGAACCGAGUUGGUCCUCCCAGUAUAGACAGCAGGCUUCCCCACCCUUCCCUCUUUCCUGCCUGUGCCCCACACAGCCACUCCUGGAGGAGGGACGUGGGGCUGGGCCCAGCUGGGCAGGGCCGGGCCAGGCCAGACAGAUGAGCUUAGGGAGCAAGAACCACAUCAAGUGCAGAGAUGGUGAUAAUUAGAAACAUUUUAAUUCCCAGCCACUUGGCGGCACUCAAGUGUCAGAGUCAUCCAGGGUCAGCCUUUGGGCUUCUCAGCAGGGGCAGAUGAUCACACACUUGGAGGGUCAGUUGGAAUUAGAUGAAGGUUAUUUAUUGGUGUGACUUUUGUCCUGUAGUGAGCUUUCUUUACACAACAUGGUGUAAAUAGCAUCAGAUUGAAUGAAAAGUCUGUUAAAUGCAACCAUAAAUAAUUAUAAUAAAUAUACAUCAAGUAACUUUACAGCACACACUUUUAGGGCCAAGAUUUGGAUCUGUCUGGACCUUGCUGUGCUCUCUGGGAGGAGCAGCUGAGCUAGCAGCAGAUACCGCAUCUCACUCACAGCUGGCCCGCUAUCACAUGAUGGCCCACCAAAGCUUCAUGAACCCCUCGGGAGGUGGCCCACAGAAUCCCAAGUCCAUUCACAGGUUGAGGGUUUUCGGGGAACCAGGAAUUUAAGGAUACAGGGAGGAAAACCACUUACAGUGGAUUCAAAGGCUCUUUCAUUAUGCACAAAAAGGAAUCAGAGGAUCCUGGUUUUCAGGAACACAGUCUGACGUGACCCCCAUCAAGGGGGCUGUAGCCCCGGGGAAGCAGCCGUGACCAUCUUCCUUUCAGAGGAGGGGACUUGCUUCUGGCGCUUGCCUGCAGAGUGACUCCAGCACC
RNAcentral lists this long non-coding RNA (1325 nucleotides) under Heterocephalus glaber (naked mole-rat). Its description in RNAcentral is "lncRNA (ENSHGLG00100036240.1)". Lineage: Eukaryota; Metazoa; Chordata; Mammalia; Rodentia; Bathyergidae. The record is from RNAcentral.